Molecule: ribosomal RNA, 840 nt
Filed under: uncultured bacterium
Lineage: Bacteria
Description: bacterial SSU rRNA
Rfam family: Bacterial small subunit ribosomal RNA
Source: RNAcentral
GAAAGCGGGGGAUCUUCGGACCUCGCGCUAUUGGAUGAGCCUAAGUCGGAUUAGCUUGUAGGUAGGGUAACGGCCUACCUAGGCAACGAUCCGUAGCUGGUCUGAGAGGACGAUCAGCCACACUGGAACUGAGACACGGUCCAGACUCCUACGGGAGGCAGCAGUGGGGAAUAUUGGACAAUGGGCGCAAGCCUGAUCCAGCAAUGCCGCGUGUGUGAAGAAGGCCUGCGGGUUGUAAAGCACUUUCAGUGGGGAAGAAAAGCCUACGGUUAAUACCCGUGAGUCUUGACGUAACCCACAGAAGAAGCACCGGCUAACUCCGUGCCAGCAGCCGCGGUAAUACGGAGGGUGCGAGCGUUAAUCGGAAUUACUGGGCGUAAAGCGCGCGUAGGCGGUUUGGUCAGUCGAAUGUGAAAGCCCAGGGCUUAACCUUGGAACUGCGUUCGAUACUGCCUGACUAGAGUAUGGUAGAGGGAAGUGGAAUUUCCGGUGUAGCGGUGAAAUGCGUAGAUAUCGGANANGGAACACCAGUGGCGAAGGCGACUUCCUGGGCCAAUACUGACGCUGAGGUGCGAAAGCGUGGGGAGCAAACAGGAUUAGAUACCCUGGUAGUCCACGCCGUAAACGAUGAGAACUAGAUGUCGGGGGGGUUGCCCUUCGGUGUCGCAGCUAACGCGUUAAGUUCUCCGCCUGGGGAGUACGCCGGCAACNGGUAAAACUCAAAGGAAUUGACGGGGACCCGCACAAGCGGUGGAGCACGUGGUUUAAUUCGAUGCAACGCGAAGAACCUUACCUGCCCUUGACAUCCUCAGAACUUGUUAGAGAUAACUUGGUGCCUUC